UGAGCAAUCUGCCCUUCUCUUCGGAAUAAGCGUUGGAAACGACGUCUAAUGCCGAAUACGACCUCCUUUCGCAUGAUCGGAGGUGGAAAGCUCCGGCGGAGAAGGAUGAGCUCGCGGCCUAUCAGCUAGUUGGUGUGGGUAAUGGCCCACCAAGGCGACGACGGGUAGCCGGCCUGAGAGGGCGACCGGCCACACUGGGACUGAGAUACGGCCCAGACUCCGUACGGGAGGNAGCG
Molecule: ribosomal RNA, 236 nt
Filed under: uncultured bacterium
Lineage: Bacteria
Description: partial 16S ribosomal RNA
Rfam family: Bacterial small subunit ribosomal RNA
Source: RNAcentral